GACGAACGCUGGCGGCGUGCCUAAUACAUGCAAGUUGAGCGCUGAAGGUUGGUACUUGUACCGACUGGAUGAGCAGCGCACGGGUGAGUAACGCGUGGGGAAUCUGCCUUUGAGCGGGGGACAACAUUUGGAAACGAAUGCUAAUACCGCAUAAAAACUUUAAACACAAGUUUUAAGUUUGAAAGAUGCAAUUGCAUCACUCAAAGAUGAUCCCGCGUUGUAUUAGCUAGUUGGUGAGGUAAAGGCUCACCAAGGCGAUGAUACAUAGCCGACCUGAGAGGGUGAGCGGCCACAUUGGGACUGAGACACGGCCCAAACGCCUACGGGAGGCAGCAGUAGGGAAUCGUCGGCAAUGGACGAAAGUCUGACCGAGCAACGCCGCGUGAGUGAAGAAGGGUUUCGGAUCGGAAAACUCGGUUGGUAGAGAAGAACGUUGGUGAGAGUGGAAAGCUCAUCAAGUGACGGUAACUACCCAGAAAGGGACGGCUAACUACGUG
This 497-nucleotide ribosomal RNA is filed under the name uncultured bacterium. RNAcentral's name for it is "partial 16S ribosomal RNA". It matches the Rfam family "Bacterial small subunit ribosomal RNA", at positions 28 to 507 of the family's 1533-position model. The record is from RNAcentral.